RNAcentral lists this ribosomal RNA (91 nucleotides) under Cohnella lupini. The record is from RNAcentral. Lineage: Bacteria; Bacillati; Bacillota; Bacilli; Caryophanales; Paenibacillaceae.
ACGCGUACCCAUCCCGAACACGACCGUUAAGCCCUCCAGCGCCAAUGGUACUUGGACCGCAGGGUCCUGGGAGAGUAGGACGUUGCCAGGC